AAAUCAAACACCCCCCACAUCAAAACCUACACUUGGCUCAUUCAGAUUGAAAAAACACUCUGGUUGUGGAGAUGGCACAGGCAAUGGCAUCAAUGGCUGGUUUACGUGGCUCUUCACAGGCUGUCCUGGACGGCAGCCUUCAACUCAGUGGCCAAACCCGCUUCAACAUUCCUAGCAACAACCGAGUGGCUGUGGGUAGGUCUGGUUUCACUGUCAGAGCUCAUCAGACACCGGCCGAGCCUGAGACUGGACGCAGAGCCAUGUUGGGUCUUGUUGCUGCUGGUUUGGCCACUGGCUCCUUUGUUCAAGCUGUGCUUGCCGAUGCCAGAAGCAUCAAGGUUGGCCCACCUCCCCCUCCCUCUGGUGGACUGCGUAAGUCAUCCAUUCUUUUCAAUUUAUACAAAUUUAAUCAACAUUGUUUUGUAGGCCAUGGUCCAUAAAGAACUUGAGAACUGGAAUUUUAGCUGGAAAAAUGGAAUCAUUAUAUAUUUUAUAAAUGUUCAAAUUUUGUAAUUUGAUGAUGAAAUCGGCAUGUCGGCAGCUGGAACUCUGAACUCUGAUGAGCCAAGAGACCUUGUUCUGCCAUACAAAGACAGGUUCUUCCUCCAACCAGUUACUCCAGCUCAGGCAGCACAGAGAGCAAAGGAAUCAGCCAAGGACAUUCUGGGUGUCAAGAACUUGAUUGACAAAAAAGCCUGGCCUUAUGUCAUGAAUGAUCUCCGUCUCAAGGCCGAGUAUCUCCGCUAUGACCUCAACACCGUCAUUGCUGCCAAGUCCAAAGAUGAGAAGAAAACUCUCAAGGACCUCACCAAGAAGCUCUUCAGUACCAUCGAUGAUGUAUGUUUUUGAAGUUUUGCUUUAGGUUUACCUGCAUAAUUGCUAGCAUCAUUUAACAUGGUAAAUUAUCAUGAAUUUAUGAUAUAUUUUUUCCUUUUGGUUUUUCUUACAGCUUGACCAUGCAGCCAAGAUCAAAAGCACCCCUGAAGCAGAGAAAUCUUACGCUCAGACCAUAUCUAGUCUGAAUGAUGUUCUUGCCAAACUGGGCUAAGAGAAUGCUUAAUUGUAUUUUGAUGUAAGAUAGCUUUGUUCAUCGUUUGUAGACACACUUUCAUUUCUAUGCUAUCUGAAGGAACCUUUACCACUUAACGAAAUUGAAACUUGUUUAAACUAAUAACCAAUCAAUUUAAGCUUUGUUGGUAAACAAGGCACACUUUUUGCCUAGCUUCCUUGCAGUCGGAAUGUUUAGACUGAACUGUUUCCCCUUAGAUUCCAUUAAAGUUCACAAAAGUUGGUAAGAAAAUGACCCUCCAAGCUUAAUUUGUAAACAAGUUAUCAUUACUUAACUCAUCAGUUCAUAGGCACAGAAGAAGAACCACCAAAUAUCACUCACAGUUGAAGUGUUGCAGUUCAAGUAGAGAGAACAGGCGCAUCCCAAAAUCAUACAAUUCAUUUUGAUCCCAAAACAGAGCUAAUAUAAAAUACCAACUGCAAAACAAAGAUGAUUAUCAAAGUUUCAGUUCCAAAAUUCAAUUCAUCAUGUAACUUUGAGGUUCGAUACCAAAAGCUAAAGCUGCAGAAAACCACUGACUAGAAAACAGAUCAAUAUUACCUCCGCCACUAACAUGAAAGUAGUUGGCUGCAAGAGGUAAAAAAAAACCACUUGCUUUUAGAUACUCGUUCAGACUAGAUUAACUAAAAUGAAAGAUAAAAUAGCUAUGGUAAAACCAUGGCACUACUCUGCAGGCAUUUUCAUCUUAUAACGACAGAAAUUAUUCGUCUUAGCAAGCUUCACGAGUUCCUUUGCAUCUUCAAUGUUGGAGGCUUUGACCAAUUCAUCCACCACUCGCUGUAACAAUGCAGCAUCAACCAAUUUCUUCCUACCAAAAAUCUCCUUGCACAGCUCAAUGGCAAAACUCAAAUCACCCUUCUCACAAAGGAAUGGAACUAACAUCGUAAAAGUCAGCUUAUCUGGUGCACAUUCAUUUUUCCCUAUCUGAUUAUACCACUCUUUAGCUUCUUCCAAUUUUCCCUCAUUAACAAAUCCUCUAAUCAUAUAAUUGAAGGUAAACACAUCAAGCUUAAGUCCUUUACUCCUCAUUUCUUCAACCAAGUUAACUGCCUCUUUCAUUUUCUUUUCAGUUGAAAAUCCAAGCAACUUAGCAUUAUAACUCCUAAUAUCAGGCUCCACAUUUUUCUCCACCAUUUUACCCCAUAUCUUCUCCCCAUCAUCAAACCUUCCAUUCUUAAAAAUCUCGUAUAAAAGCGUGUUAAAAGUAAUCACAUCCGGCUGCACACCCUUCUUCUCCAUCUCAUCAAGCAUCAAUCUAGCAGAAUCUAAAGAACCCAUCUCACAGAAAGCCUUUAUAACCGUAUUAUAAGAAACCAAAUCUGGCUCAACUGACAACUUUUCCGGCAGCUCCUUGAAAAACCCAUUAACCUUAUCAAACUUUUUGGCAUUCACGCAAGCUCCCAUAAGAGCAUUGAAAGACAGCAAUCCUCUAUUCGGCAUUUCAUCAAACACCUUGUAAGCUUGCUCAAACAUGCCCGAUUUACCGUACAAAUGGAUUAAUCUAGCAGCAAAGCCUUCUUUGGAAAUAUCUUGGUAUUUCUUUUGAUCUUCCAGGACUUCUUCGAUCCAUUGGAAGCGCCCAGCUGAAGCAAGGCGACGAACAAUAUCUUCAUAGAUGCCGCUUCGUCGCGGAAGCGGCUGUACUCGCAAGAUUUCUUGAAUUUUUCAACGAGACGCUUGAGGUCCCGCUCUUUGUAGAGAUCCUCCGAGAAUUUCCGAACGGAGUGGGGCUGUGGGUUUGGGGUUGUGGAGAAGGUGCGGCGGAGGACGCGAGUUAGAGAUGACAUUUUUAGGGGUUUAAGGACGCGUGUAGCUGUACGAGUGUAGAAUGAGGGUUUUAGCUUAAGAAGCUUCGGUUUUAUUGUUGGUUUUCCUUUUAGUUUUUUUUUAAAAUAAAAAAAAAAACACUUAGUCAAGCAGCCAUUUUAUCUAAAAAGGCCUUUAAAAAAUUUAAUUACGGAAAUAGGCCGUUUAUUGGUUUAUUUACCGGAUUAGGCCAUUUUUCACAAAAACGCGUCCACAUAAGUGCGUUUUCAGGGUACGUGUCAGCAAAACGCUCCCUUAGAGAAGCAUUUUGCCCGUUUUUUAAGGUUAUGAUUUUUUAUUAUUUAAUUAAUUUAGGGUUAGGGUUUUUUAGAAUUUAGAGUUAGGUUUUUUAAGUUAUGGUUUUUUAGGGUUUUAGGAUUUAGGAAUUUUAGGAAAAAAUUAAUUGAAUUGGGAUAUAAAUUAACUAUUAAUUUAAAUACUAAAUAUUAAAUUAGAGUUUAGGGUAUUAAGGUUAAUUGAUUAAAUUAGGGAUUGAUUUAGGGUUUAGGGUUAAUUGAUACAUAAUAGUUUAAACAUAUUAUUUUAAUAUUUUAUUUCUUAUAAUAUUUUAGUAAAAAACCCUUAAAUAACUCUUAACGUGUAAACAAUAAGUUGUAAUUCGAUUACUUCAGCGUUUAGGUUUUUUUCCCUUAUCAAUGGCUUAGAUCAUUUUAUUUUUGAUCCACCGGCUAAGUUUCUUUUACUUUGUAACAAGCUCAUUUCUGUUUUUUUUUAAUUAUUAAUUUUCAAUAUACAUACACAAAAAAAAAAUUCUCAAAGAUAACAUGAUUGCAGCAUAUAUACAUACUGGCGCUAUGCUAAGUUCAAGGUUUCGAGAAAAAAUAAUUGAAUUAGGAUUUAGGAUUUUAGGGUUAAUUCAUUAAAUUAACUAUUAAUUUUAAAUACUAAAUAUUAAAUUAGAGUUUAGGGUAUUAGGGUUAAUUCAUUAAAUUACGGUUUAGGUUUUUCAAAUAAAUUUAUGUUUAGGGUAUCAGAAAAACAUAUAAGCAAUAUAAUUUUUUUUGUCUUAGGGUUUAAGGUUUAGGGUUUCUACAAGAAUAAUUCUGAUUAUACGUUUCUGAACAAAUAGUGUCGAAAAAAGCUUUAAGUGCACUGUUAGCAAAAAUUUCUGGAAAAAGCUCCCACAUGGACGCUCUUUUGUUACAGUAGUUCGUAGAAAAAUAAUUCUGAGUAGACGUUUCUGAACAAAUAGUGUCGAAAACGCAUCAAGCAGGAUGCACUGUCAACAAAAUUUCUGGAAAAAGCUUCCACGUGGACGCUCUUUUACUACAGUAGUUCGUAGAAAAAUAAUUCUGAGUAAACGUUUCUGAACAAAUAGUGUCGAAAACGCUUCAAGCAGGAUACAUUGUCAGCAAAAUUUUAGAAAAAAGCUCCCACAUGGACACUCUUUUGCUACAGUAGUUCGUAGAAAAAUGAGGCUAUAAAUGAGCCAAAUUUUAUUCUCAGGUUGCAUAACUUACAACAAAAAAAAUUAGAGAGGUUAAGAAGAAAAGAAAUUGAAGAUGAGUGAACGUAUUAGUGCUAUUAUUUACUAUGAUGGUGAGGUCUGUAACACCGAGAACGGUGUUGUUUUUCUAUCAGAGAACACAACGAGACUGGUUUUUAACCAGAACAUAGAUUUGACAGAACUUCGUAAAAGAAUUAGGCGUAAAAUCUUCAGAACGACACCAAUGAAAGUUUUGUCUAUUAAGUAUCAAUUUUGUGGUUCAGUUGAUCCUGUGACAUAUGACUCAUUCGACAUCAAAGACGCUCGUAGCUUGGAGGCAAUGGUGCAGACUCAUCUCGCUAGUGGAUCACUUUAUCUUGAGUUAUAUGUAUAAUUUUCAUCGUCAAAUGAUUCAUUUGCAGCUUCAAUAUUUACUGCUGGUCGAGAGGAAUACACGACCCCGUUCGACACUCCGUUAGUAGGUGGCAAAACACGGAAGCGUCUGUGUUUAGUAGCAGCAUGGAAUAUCCAACCCCUGUACGACACUCCGUUAGUGGAUGGGACAUGCACCUCAGUGGGUCGAUGUUUGAUGCUGGAAAUAUGUACUAGGGAAUGACAUCAACUUCUAGUGGUUGGCAAUCCACAUCUGUUUGGAGACAUUGUGAAACAUCCAUAAGGAGGGAUGAUAUACUCCCUACGAUGUCCACCGACGAGGGGACCUUCUACGUUGUACAUGAUGAUGGGUCAGAUAAUGAGUCUGAUGUGGAUCCACCUCGAGAGGCCGGUCUCGAUGGUGCAAAAGUUGCAUUAUUUUCUGAACCAGAGCUUGUUCCAACCAUACCUGAAGAUGUUGAAGGGGGUUCAGAUAAUGAAGAAGAAGAUCUACGAUUUAGGGCGUACUCGCCUCCAACCUACAUGCAUAAUGUCGAUCUAUCUCAAGAUGAUGUGUCGGAGCUUCCAGAUCUACCACACAGAAGGCGUGACCAUCCAAGUUCCUUAUUAGAUUCAGGUGAAUUGGAAGUUGGUAAGGAUUUUUCCAAUAAAGAUAGUUUUCUUGGUACAUUAAAACAACAUAGCAUCACGAACGGGGUUAACUAUAACGUGGUUAAAUCCAAAUUCAAUAAGUUUGAGGCCAAGUGUGCAGUGCAAGACGGUACAUGUUCAUGGAAAAUCAUGGUCUCGUUGAGGAAAAAGACAGGCUUGUGGGAGAUAAAAAAGUACAAAAAUCCACAUACAUGUGUUGCCGGUAUAGUAUCACUAACUGUUUAGAGUUUUUCAAUAGUACUGUUAUUACGUACUGUUGCAUUUUUUAACGUAUUUCGUUGACAGGUGUUUCAGAAGAUCAUUCCAAGAUGAAUUCAGAUAUGUUAGCUACCUUAAUACCACUGACGGUGAAGGCCGAUCCUAGAACUUUAGUGCCGGUCUUAAUUGCCAAUAUUCGUAGCCAGUUGAAGUACGCCUUUUUAUCGCAAGGCUUGGAUAGCUAAGCAGAAGGCGUUGGAAAAGAUUCAUGGUGGGUGGCAUUUCAUAUAAUGAAGUGUGGCAUUGGUGUCAGGUGCUAGAGAGAUAUGUCUUAGGUUGCGUAACAGACCUUGAAACGGAACCUGCGUACUACAACAACCGAUUGCUCGGUGGAUACCAAGUAUUUAAGCGUCUGUUUUAGAGCUUUAAGCAAUGUCGAAACGCAUUUCUAUAUUGCAAGCCAUUGGUACAAAUUGAUGGUACCUUUAUGUACGGUUGAUAUACCCAUUGACUAUUGCUAACUGUGACACAGAAUGGCAGUAGAAGAAUCAUUCCAAUUAUGUUUGCAAUAACACUGGGGAAGUCAGCUGAUGACUGGAAGUUCUUUCUUUCUAGGUUAAGGAGGCAUGUCUGCCUCCAACCUAAUAUCUGCGUCAUAUCAGAUCGGGGCACCAGAAUACUAGCUGUAAUUGAGCGACAGGGAAGCCUGUGGCAUCGCACACACUAUCGGUAUUGCCUAAGGCACGUUGCAUCCAACUACUACGAGCAAUUUCGAUUUACAAAUGAAAAACGGCAAGUGACCAAUAUGGGUAUUUAAUAUCUAUUAAUGUAAUUUCGUUUGAAAUAUUGAAUUUAUUUUAAAUGGAAAAGUGGUAUGUCAUUUUCGCUAUCAACUUAUAUUGGCAGAGUAUGAGAUAAGUAAUGACCAUUUUCAUGAGAUGUUAGCGGUUUUGCAUUCAGUUAACGAAGAAGGCGCAGACUACCUCUGCAACAUACCUUUCGAACAGUAGACACAAGCAUACGAUGACAGUCUAUGAUAUAGUCAUAUGACCUCAAACCUAGCUGAAUGCAUAAAUUCUGUUCUAAAAGGAACACAUCAUUUGUCGAUAACAUCAGUUGUUUGAGAGACAUAUUUUUGUUUAGUGGCACUAUUUCUGAAGAGAGCAGCGAGUUAUAAAGGCCAAAUGCAAAGAGGUCGUGUAUGGUGCGCAAAGGUAUUGCAAGAAAUUAACAAGGCAAAGGCAUGGGCGAACACCAUGCACACAGUCUAUCACGAUCAAGACAAUCUAUGGUUUCGUGUGACGGAGUUUGAUAGACCGCACGAAUGUAUUAUUGGCGGGCAAUAUCAUAUACACUUGAGAAAUAAGACUUGCGACUGUGGGAGGUUUAACGCACUUCGUUAUCCUUGCGCUCAUAUAAUUGCAGCUUGCCAGAAUCUCCGUCUAGACCUCAUGAGCUAUGUCGACAGAGUGUACAAACUAGAAACCAUUUACAACGUGUGGAGACACGUAUUCUCACCUAUCCCAGAUGAAUGUAAGUGGCCGCCUGUAUCGCUUGCUCCGUUUAAGUUAUUACUGAAUAGGGAAUUGCAUCACAAACCAAAGAGUCGACUUUGUUCAACUAGAAUACGUACCAAUAUAGAUAUCUGAGAAAUAACCAAUCAUCAGAAGUUGUGCAGAUGGUGUAGAAACUCAGGGCCAUACAAGUAGAUCAUGUCCAAAUCAAAAUAGUUGAUAGUUGUCGUAAAAAACUAUGUUGUAUUAUUUAUAUUUUAUUAAAUAAAACUAUGUUGUAUUACAAUUAUCUUAUUCAAAAGAAAUUUUAUUUUUAUUAAAUGAAACAAUAUAAAAUUUUUUGUACAAAUAUAUUAAAAAAAAAUCAAUAUCUGUGACGGUCGGAAUCAAUGCCACAUAGGGGUUGUCGACGGGUCCGUGUUGGAUUCCUCCUUCGAUCAACUUCCGGUGGGGUUGUGGUUCUUCUGGUAGUGGAUUUGGUUAUGGGUGUUGGGAGGGUGACCCACCUUGAUAGAAUAAUGACUAUGGCGGUGUUUGCAUCAUCCAUGGCAGAGGUGCUUGAAUCCCGUAAAGUGAUAGAGAUUGGUAGAAAGAAGAGCUCCCCGAUGGUGCCUCGUGCGAUCCCUCAUGUGACGGUGACCUAUAGAUCCGAGGUUGACUCGGAAUAAUCAGGAACGGAGAUGAACCGGCCAUGGAUUCCAACCUGUCAUAGGACUAGGAAAAGGAAACAUAUAAGGGAUAGGAUAACCACCUGGCAUAAUCUAAAAAGGCUGUGAUGUGGGUGUCAUCGAUUGAACUGUUAGGCCUGGUGAUUGUGUAGGUGUUGUUGAUGGGCUUGCGUCGUCGUCCCUUCUUCUUGGAUUUUCACUUUCGCAAUCCCUGAUAAUGACACCAACAACUUGACCACUUCAACGGUGCAAACGUUUAGAGCAAAAUCGUGCAAAUAAUAUACAUAUAUAAUUAAGUGCGGUAUCUGUAAGCAAACAAGUCAGAUUAUAAUAUAGUUUAGUGUUACAAUGGAACACUAAUAAAUAUUCUGAGGAUUGUACCCAAGGGAUUGCAGAUUGGAGAAAUUAUUAUUAAAUUAAUUACAAAAAAUAAUUACUAAUCUAAUCAAGUUACAAAUUAGUAGUGUGAAUCCAAUUUAAAGUAUUAAUUAAACUCAUUAAAUUAAUUAACCUAAUUGAAUUUCUUAUUUCUAGUGUCAAUGAUGCGAGCUCUGGGCCUAUUAUCGUUUAAAUCCCUAAUUAUCAAUUAAAUCACUAAUUACCUUCAACUGAGUUAUUUAUUGCCCUUAGCUAAGGAUUGCCAUCUAAGUCACUCUUUCGGUCUCUUCCUACACAUACUGAAUACCCUUUCAGUCUCACCAUUUGACACAAGUUAUACUCGACAGAAUAUCCUCUCGGUCUCACCUGUCUCGAUAUUUUACUAAGGGUGUCACUCCCUAAUCUAAGUCACCUGUCUCGAUUUUGUGAGCUUCUCAUUAAUGGCUCUCUAGAGUUUCCCAAUAAUAACUCGCUUGAACCUUUUCGAUAUUGGCUCACAUGAGUUUCCCGAUUACGGUUAUUAUGAGCUUCUCGUUACAUGGCUCAUAUGAGCUUCUUGUUAUAUGGCUCAAAAGAGCUUCCCGUUUAUAUGCUCGUAUAAGCAUCCUGAAUAUGAAUUAAUGGAUUUCAGAUUUGUACACUUCGUGUGUACUACCUGGAUAUCCAUCGAUAUUUUAAAUGAUUUAACGGGCAAAAUCCUUAUACGAAAAAAAAUGAAUUAAAAUGAACCGUUACCUGUAUAUACACGAAAUGCAAGGAAAUUUGAUAUUGAUGAGUUCAUAAGCAAUUCUUGAUAUUCAUGUCAAAUGAUUGACUAACAUGUUUGGUGAAGUGGCGUGUUUAGGCUAUUAGCCUAAUUGCAUGGAUGCAUUUUGUAUGUUUAUUUUAAUGAAAAUGAAUGGUAAGUUAAUUUCUUGUUAUACUAACUUACUAAGCAUUAAAUGCUUACUCUGUUUUAUUUUCUCUGUUUUAUAGUAAAUCAAAAGCUUGUAAAGGUUGGAAGCCGGUCGGAGCAACAUCACACUAUCCUUCAGUUCGUUUCAGUAUAAAAAGAAAUAUUUCUUUUGGGUAUGAUGGCAUGUAUAAGCUAAGUUUGGCCAAAUGAUGGCAUGAAUGUGUUUGGUUGUGAUUUUCCAAUGGUUUUGCUUAUGUUGAAUAUAUUUUGAUGUAAAUAUAUAUGUGUGUGAUUUUAUUAUGCUUGAUAUGUGUUUGGUGUGGUUGAAUAAUAUGUAGUUUAUAAGCAUGCAGUUGAAAAGAUUGAAAUAGUAUGUUUGGUAUAAGUAAGAAAAUAUGUGUUUUGAUCAUUAUGGUAAAUGUGAAUGCUAAGGUGUAUGUGAUAAAAUGACUUGUCUAAGACUUGAUUUUGGCUUGAUUUGAAUGAUUGAUAUUGCCUUGUGAAUGUAUCAAAGUGUUGAUGUAAGUGGAAGACAACUUGGGUGAGAAAUAUGGCUUGGAAAAUAGCCUAUUUUUGUCCACACGGGUAGAGACACGGGCAUAUGUCUCAACCGUGUGUGACACACGGCCUAGUACAUGGGCGUGUGGAUUGGCCAUGUGUCUCCUGCAUCUUAAAAAUUUAGAAAUAGAAUGCUCAAAAUUAUUCAUACGGCCUAGCACACGGGCAUGUGGCUUGGCUAUGUGAUCCAAGUCAGAGAAUUACACAGGCACGAACACUGGCUGGGAUACGACCGUGUGCCCUACUUCGAAUGCCCACACGGGCGUGGCUUCCCUGCACCUAGUGAAAAUUUUGAAAUUUCACGAAAAAUUCUCUGAGCACCCAGUUUAGUCCCGACUUAUUUCUAAUGCAUAUUUUGGGCCUCGAGGGCUUAUGUAAGGGUCAAAAUGGUUGAGUAUGAUUGAUUUCUGGUAUGGAUGUUAAAUGAUAUGAAAUAACUGUAUUUGAUCUGUAAAUUUUAGUAAUGCUCCGUAACUCUGUUCUGGCGAUGGAUAUGGGUUAGGGGUGUUACACGGAUCAUCCCGGUUCUAAAAAAGGCUUCUAUUUUAAUUUGUUUUAAUUUUAAUUUUAUUUAUUUUUCAUUUGUUCGUUUUCUAUUUGAUUUUGAGUCUAUAAUUAUGUAUUUUAUUUACAAUGGUUACUGAGCUUGGAGAGGUUAUUAUUUUGAAAAGCCUUAGGAGUGAUUUGAAGUGAUUAUACAUAAAUUGAGGAGUCCAAUAUGACCCGAAAAGACGAAUUUUGAACCUUCUAAUGCGUGUCACGAUACAGGUUCCUUUGUGUUGCGACAUAGAACUUCGACACAAGUUGUGUUGCGACAUACAGGGGUUGUAUCGUGACACGAUAUCGGGUUUUGCAACUUUUUUCAGCCCGUUCUCUGCGUAGCCGUCAUCUCUUUUAAAUACCUCACUUCUUGUUAGCCCCAAUCACUUUUCUUAAGCAUAUUUUGGAAACCUAAAAAACCUAUUACAACUGCCACACCUCUCUUCAUCUUUCGUCAAAUUUUUAAGACUUCAACUUCGAUUCUUCUAUCUAUCUUCUCUUUCUUUGUUAUUUCUUUAUCUCUUUUUGUUCUUUUCCUCUUUUUUGCAAGUUAAAAGCAUCCCAUUAGGAUCGACGAACGUCCCGAUACGUGCAAGAUCAUUACGUAACAAGGUUAAUUGUUCUAGUCUUGUUCUAUGUUAUAAGUGGUGUUUGAGUAAUUAGCUCAUUAGAUCUUUUAAUUAAAAUUGUUCAAUGGUACCACGAAAAGCACAAUGCACCAACGAGGCAUCGAUGGAAAGCUAUGCCGGCCGCUUCCACAGCGAAUCAAUGGUGCAAUAUUACUUAGAAAUGGAUGAACGUAUGUUUAUCCAAGAACGGGGGUUCGAUCCCUCGUUAACCAAGUGUGAAGCUACUUGGGAGUUGGUUAUUUGCCCAAGCCCGCACUUAUUUGUAAAUAACUAACCCUACCCAUAUUAUUUUUAUUUAUUUAAAAUUUAAAAUUUAAAAUUUAUAUAAUUUUUAAUUUAAUAUUUAAUAAUUAUAUAUAUUUUUAUUUAUUUAAAAUUUUAUAUAUAUUCAUCUUAAGCUUUUUUAAUGUUUACAUUAUAGUACUAUUAUAUAUAAAAAUAAAAAAAUAUACAACAUUGUAAACUUUAAGAAAAUGGAUCAGGACUCGAGCCUCGA
Molecule: long non-coding RNA, 11242 nt
Filed under: Gossypium barbadense (sea-island cotton)
Lineage: Eukaryota; Viridiplantae; Streptophyta; Magnoliopsida; Malvales; Malvaceae
Description: long non-coding RNA (GBAR_LNC005449)
Source: RNAcentral